CCUACGGGAGACAGCAGUGGGGAAUAUUGCGCAAUGGGCGAAAGCCUGACGCAGCGACGCCGCGUGAGGGAUGAAGGCCUUCGGAUCGGAAACCUUUGUCAGCAGGGAAGAACGGUCACUGUGCUAAGCAGCAGUGAAUUGACGGUACCUGCAAAGGAAGCACCGGCUAACUCCGUGCCAGCAGCCGCGGUAAUACGGAGGGUGCGAGCGUUAAUCGGAAUUACUGGGGGUAAAGCGCUCGUAGGCGGUAUGUCAAGUCAAGGGUGAAAUCCCCGGGCUCAACGUGGGAACUGCCUUUGAAACUGGCAAACUGGAGUGUGUGAGAGGAUAGUGGAAUUCCAGGUGUAGGGGUGAAAUGCGUAGAUAUCUGGAAGAACAUCGGUGGCGAAGGCGACUAACUGGCACAUAACUGACGCUGAGGAGCGAAAGCGUGGGUAGCAAACAGGAUUAGAUACCCCAGUAGUC
This 465-nucleotide ribosomal RNA is filed under the name uncultured bacterium. Its description in RNAcentral is "partial 16S ribosomal RNA". It matches the Rfam family "Bacterial small subunit ribosomal RNA", at positions 338 to 795 of the family's 1533-position model. The record is from RNAcentral.